CUGCCCGNGACGUUGUUUAACGGCCGCGGUAUUUUGACCGUGCGAAGGUAGCAUAAUCAUUUGUUUUUUAAAUGAAGACUGGAAUGAAUGGCAAGACGGAGAUUUAACUGUCUCUUUUUUUAGUAUCUUGAAAUUAAUUUUCUUGUGAAGAAGCAGGAAUAAAAUCGUAAGACGAGAAGACCCUAUUGAGCUUAAAUAUAUUUAUUAAAUAAUAAAAAAUUAAUUUUUACUAAUGAAAUAAAAAAAUAGAAAUUUAUAAAAAGUAAUUUAAUUAAUAAUAAAAUUAUUUUGAUUGGGGCAAUCAUGGAGAAAAAAAAUCCUCCAUUAUAAUUUAGAAAAUUAAUUUUUUAAAAUAUAAAUGUUAUAAUUUUUAAAUGAUCCACUUUUUGAGUGAUCAAAGGAACAAGUUACCAUAGGGAUAACAGCGUAAUUUUUUUGGAGAGUUCAUAUUGAUAAAAAAGUUUGCGACCUCGAUGUUGGAUCGGGA
This 487-nucleotide ribosomal RNA is filed under the name Pteraster tesselatus. Its description in RNAcentral is "partial 16S ribosomal RNA". It matches the Rfam family "Bacterial large subunit ribosomal RNA", at positions 1908 to 2542 of the family's 2925-position model. Lineage: Eukaryota; Metazoa; Echinodermata; Asteroidea; Velatida; Pterasteridae. The record is from RNAcentral.